Haliotis rufescens (red abalone) is the source of this 785-nucleotide long non-coding RNA. RefSeq lists it as uncharacterized. The transcript is spliced from 3 exons. NCBI's taxonomy places the organism in Eukaryota, Metazoa, Mollusca, Gastropoda, Lepetellida, Haliotidae. The record is from RefSeq and is a predicted model, not a curated record.
GCUCGACAAGGAAAUGAAAUCUUUUUUGUUUGAACUUUUUGAUGAAAAGAUCGGAGGUAAUAAAAAAAGGGAAAAACAUCUGCCUGGCACACAACAAACCCAUUUCCUGGUCCUCUGGCAUAGUUCAGCAAUUACAGAUGGUCAAUGAAAGGAUAGUCCUCACAAAGUAGGAGUGCACGUUGUUUUAGGCCGCAGUCAGCCAUACUCCAGCCAUGUCACGUCUGCCUGCAUACAGUCUACUAUGGACAUGGCCACCCAGGGGGUGCAACCAUCCAAUCCUCAUUAGUGAUUAGCCCUGGACGCCCCCCGAGGGCACACAGUAUGAGGAUAAGUUAGUACUAUUUGGACAUUAGUGGGCUGUGCCCCACUGCAACAUACUGUGGUUAUUACAUAGGGUGGACACAGACAUAUUAGAAGUUCAGUGGUACACAGAAGCAAAGUCUCCACACAGGCAAACCAGGGUUACCUUCUGGAAUUUCUAGUGGGGAAAUAAACAAAUAAACAAUUGAAUAAAGACAAUAAAAAUAGGGCGUGAAUAAUCAGAUCUGAAGGAAGUUCAUCAAAGUGAAGUCGGGAUAGGCAACAUUGUAUUUACCCAUUUUACUAGCUGCUUGUCAAAUGUGAAUAAAGUGGGUUGAAAAGACAAUUUGUCAUGAUUCAAACUGUGUCAUAUGAAAAGAGAUGCUACUCUCCUACAUCUUUCUGUAUGAGAGUUAAUGUAUCUAGAAGAAGAGUGGUCAUGUUAUUGCUAUGAAAGGUGCUGACAACACAGACACCUGCCAUAU